Molecule: ribosomal RNA, 129 nt
Organism: Gorilla gorilla gorilla (western lowland gorilla)
Lineage: Eukaryota; Metazoa; Chordata; Mammalia; Primates; Hominidae
Source: Ensembl
GCCUGCUGCCAUAGUACUCUGAAAGCACCCAAUCCUGUCUGAUCUCAAAAGCUAAGCAAGGUUGGGUCUGGCUAAUAUGUGGAAGGGAGAAAGUUGGGUAGGAAUAUGUGGUUUCGUUCUUAGCUGGCU